GAGGAUGACGGUGUUAUACGGCGUAGGGCUGUGGCCGCCAUUUUGUGUGGGAGAUAGAGGGGGAGCGGCAGGAGUUGGUGGAGCGAGUUGGACUGAGCUUUGCGGGGGGGGGGUGGGGGUCGAAGAGUGACGGCGGAGGAGCAGCGGGGUCGGCUCCUAGAGGCCCGUGUGUGUGUGUCUGUGCUUGUGAGCGAACGAGACGGACAGAAGUCGUUGAGACUUCUCCCCUGGAGCCUCUGUGCCGAGAAUCCGAUGUUGGGCUCGGCUACCUGGCUGAACGCAGCAGAUCAGCCCAUGAAAACUUCUAUUCCUAGCCAAAGGAAGGAGUCCAGCAAAAGGCAGCACCUACUCUUUCAGGCUUGGAAGCAAGAAAGGGGACAGGAGUUGGAGUGUGUGGAAUCUGAGAAGACAACUGAAAGGUGACAUUUAAGUU
RNAcentral lists this long non-coding RNA (433 nucleotides) under Dromaius novaehollandiae (emu). RNAcentral's name for it is "lncRNA (ENSDNVG00000008611.1)". Lineage: Eukaryota; Metazoa; Chordata; Aves; Casuariiformes; Dromaiidae. The record is from RNAcentral.